Jatropha curcas is the source of this 629-nucleotide non-coding RNA. The record is from RefSeq and is a predicted model, not a curated record. NCBI's taxonomy places the organism in Eukaryota, Viridiplantae, Streptophyta, Magnoliopsida, Malpighiales, Euphorbiaceae.
CCCAUAUCGCGCGUUCUAUAUUCGUGCAAUCUAAUUCCUAGUAUAAAAAGCUACUUCAUACACCAAGCUAAUCAACCAAAAUUUUUUUUUUUUAAUUACUGCUAUCAGAUCUUUUGUUUACUUUAUUUUUAAAGCCUCCCUGCAUUUCCCACUUAAUUUUAUCAGACAGAAAGCAAGUUUGCUUCCCACUUGCAAUACCCACAUGGCAUAGGUUGUACGAGUGGAUUUAUAGCUACUAAUGGUGUGUUCUGUCAGUGAAAGUAAUAAUAUGAAAUUGCAGGAAGGAGAUUCAGAGCGGGAACAAUCUGCCCAAAGAAAAUUAUGUGUAAAAGAGGAUUGAAAUGAACCCAAAUGGAACUGUAAGCUCAAGUGACGUUGCUGAGUUAAAAGAUUGGAAGCUGCAAUUUUCGAGGGGAACGUAUCUCAAGUUGUCUGCCUCAUGCAGAUUUUUAGCAGAUGUAAGGAGGAGGAGAAAGAGAAGCUUAUGAAGAUAAAUAUGAUCAAAAUUUGUUUGCCUAGUUGUAUAAUUAGUUAAAAUUUAGUAUGAUAUAAAUACGAAAAUGCUUUGUAAAAUAUCACAAGCUUAAUGUAAAUACAUAUUAUAUAAAUUAUUCUAAAUUUAAGGUGAA